AAGGCGCAUGGAGGAACACAAGCCAUUGGGCACCCUCAAUGUCAUGUGCCAUGUGAACCUCAGCAGGGGGCUCCAGGGAGCCUUUCCUGAGAAAAAUAGCUAAUUUGAGAUUGUAAGAACAAGAAAUGAUGACUCAGGUGAAGGAGCCAAGAAAGGAAGAAAGAAAGAAAGGCCUUCUGUAAAGGUCAAAGGUCCAGAGAUGAAAGAGACAUUGAUACCUUUUUGCAAACACUUGAGCAAGACCCUGGAGAAGAACCCGGCAGGGGAAAAGGUGAGAGAGAUGUCUCCGCAGUAAGGGACCUACGGCAGUUACACGGCAUAUUAAGAGAGGCUGUUGAAAACAGAAUAUGAAAUAUAAGUGAUGCCAGACUUUCAAGUCAAAAUCGCUCCUUGGUUUCUGCAGCAAAUCCUCCAGCAAAUCGACUAAAGAUUCAAAUGUAACAUCCAAGCAAAAGUAAAUGGAUAUGAUGUUACAAACAUUUGUAUGACAGAUUAGACAGUUACAACUGCAUCAGAGAAGAGAGUAAAAAGACAUGUUCUCCAUUAAA
This is a long non-coding RNA of Hyaena hyaena (striped hyena), 548 nucleotides long. RefSeq lists it as uncharacterized. NCBI's taxonomy places the organism in Eukaryota, Metazoa, Chordata, Mammalia, Carnivora, Hyaenidae. The record is from RefSeq and is a predicted model, not a curated record. The transcript has 2 exons.